GUUGGUGAGGUAACGGCUCACCAAGGCAACGAUGCGUAGCCGACCUGAGAGGGUGAUCGGCCACACUGGGACUGAGACACGGCCCAGACUCCUACGGGAGGCAGCAGUAGGGAAUCUUCCGCAAUGGACGAAAGUCUGACGGAGCAACGCCGCGUGAGUGAUGAAGGUUUUCGGAUCGUAAAGCUCUGUUGUUAGGGAAGAACAAGUACCGUUCGAAUAGGGCGGUACCUUGACGGUACCUAACCAGAAAGCCACGGCUAACUACGUGCCAGCAGCCGCGGUAAUACGUAGGUGGCAAGCGUUGUCCGGAAUUAUUGGGCGUAAAGGGCUCGCAGGCGGUUUCUUAAGUCUGAUGUGAAAGCCCCCGGCUCAACCGGGGAGGGUCAUUGGAAACUGGGGAACUUGAGUGCAGAAGAGGAGAGUGGAAUUCCACGAGUAGCGGUGAAAUGCGUAGAGAUGUGGAGGAACACCAGUGGCGAAGGCGACUCUCUGGUCUGUAACUGACGCUGAGGAGCGAAAGCGUGGGGAGCGAACAGGAUUAGAUACCCUGGUAGUCCACGCCGUAAACGAUGAGUGCUAAGUGUUAGGGGGUUUCCGCCCCUUAGUGCUGCAGCUAACGCAUUAAGCACUCCGC
This 634-nucleotide ribosomal RNA is filed under the name uncultured Bacillota bacterium. Its description in RNAcentral is "bacterial SSU rRNA". It matches the Rfam family "Bacterial small subunit ribosomal RNA", at positions 248 to 872 of the family's 1533-position model. Lineage: Bacteria; Bacillati; Bacillota. The record is from RNAcentral.